UUCCGGUUUGAACUCAGAUCAUGUGCGAAAAAGAGGUCGAACAGACCUUUUAUUCCUAAUUUCUGCUUUAGGAAGAAUUCGCAAUUCAACAUCGAGGUCGCAAACAAUUAUUUUAAUAUGGGCUUUAAUAAUUAUUACGCUGUUAUCCCUAGAGUACCUUUUUCACCUAGUUUUAUUAAGAUCAGUUUAGUUCAAAAUACUUUCAUUUUUAUU
This 213-nucleotide ribosomal RNA is filed under the name Acartia tonsa. RNAcentral's name for it is "partial large subunit ribosomal RNA". The record is from RNAcentral. Lineage: Eukaryota; Metazoa; Arthropoda; Copepoda; Calanoida; Acartiidae.